GCGACGCUUUUUUAUUUAAGAAAACAACAGUUCGUUGACCGAUCCACGUUUUUAGGGAUUCUAUUUAGCUGUUCUCACCUGAUUACAAUUUUUAGAUGAUCCCUUCGUAGAAGAUAAUCACUCUCGGCGGCUCCUCCUAUGGCAUGUCACCACCUCACCGACGUAUCACAAUGGGCGACGGCGGCGGCGGCGGCGGCAGUGGCACGACAACAUCUAACGGGGACGAUGAGAUGCGCGACUCGCGGCGACAACCUCCGACCGCAAAACAAGAUUCAUGGGAAGCUCUCUCCCCCUGCUGUUGGAUUCCAGGUGAUCGUCAUCUGGCCUCGUCGUUGCCUUCCGGUUCGCUAGUUUAUAUGGAUGGGACUGAGAGACAUGCAUCAGUACAACGGACCCACCUUCUUUCCAAUUGAUCUUGAAGCCUCGACUCCAAGGGCCAGGCGGCCAGCGGCAUGUGGCUCUCCUGGUGGCCGACUGCACCUGCACUCGGACAACUGUGAUGAUUCAAUCCUUCCUGUCGGCGACAUACGUAUGUGCUCAGCUUCAGCUAUGUAUGCACGCUGCCCACCUCGGUCAUAAAAGAAGAAUGUCACCACUUCGAUGGGAAAACACCAGAAUGGAUUACAUACAAUAGUUGCUUCUCACUAACUGUUUAGACGAACAUAUUUGUAUUUUUUGUGCACAUACUCUCCUUGUAAAUUCAUACUCAUAGAUCUGAAUAUACUCAUCUUUAGAUCAACAUACUCCUUUCUAGGAAAAUGCUGCUUUGUAACAAAUAUACUAACCAUACUCACAGCUUCGAAGAUACUCCCUCCAUAAAAAAAUAUAAGAGCAUUUAGAUCACUAAAGUAGCGCUGCUCUUAUAUUUCUUUAUAGAGUGAGUACUAUUUUUUGGAUGAACAUACUCAUAUUUCUGGGCAUACUCAUAUAUAUUUGUCCAGCAAACUAAUUAUACCAGAUUUCUUUCAGGCUUCUUUAUUUGAUAAGAAGAAAAGUGAGAAAGAGCAGGGCACGUCUUUAAUAAAUAUUGUUGUUAUCCUAGUUUAAACUACAAAAGAAAGAUCAUCUUGUAAAUUAUACGGAGUUCUAGUCCUAAUACACUCCCACUGUUUCUCUUUUGACGUACUGAAUUUAUGAAGCAAUCGCCAUCUCUUCGUUGUGUAACAAGUUUCCGAUCUUCUUGUUUGUUUAUGCUCCAGUUCUUGACCUAACAACUAUGCUUCUUUACUUUCAGAUCUUACCGCAAACUGCAGAAAAUUUGUGCUUUGGAAAAGAAGUGUGUGUUGACAUCUGGCGAAACAUAUUCAUAUUGGCCGCAAGAUAUACUCUUUUUUACUGUAAUCCAUUUUUGGUGUAAAUAUAUGCUUGAACUGGGAUAUAUAAAAGCAAGUGUGUACUUUUAUU
Molecule: long non-coding RNA, 1404 nt
Organism: Triticum aestivum (bread wheat)
Lineage: Eukaryota; Viridiplantae; Streptophyta; Magnoliopsida; Poales; Poaceae
Exons: 2
Source: RefSeq, a predicted model, not a curated record